UACGGAGGGUGCAAGCGUUAUCCGGAUUCACUGGGUUUAAAGGGUGCGUAGGUGGGCUAGUAAGUCCGUGGUGAAAUCUCCAAGCUUAACUUGGAAACUGCCGUGGAUACUAUUAGUCUUGAAUCUCGUGGAGGUAAGCGGAAUAUGUCAUGUAGCGGUGAAAUGCUUAGAUAUGACAUAGAACACCGAUAGCGAAGGCAGCUUGCUACACGAUUAUUGACACUGAGGCACGAAAGCGUGGGGAGCAAACAGG
RNAcentral lists this ribosomal RNA (253 nucleotides) under uncultured bacterium. RNAcentral describes it as "partial 16S ribosomal RNA". It matches the Rfam family "Bacterial small subunit ribosomal RNA", at positions 524 to 776 of the family's 1533-position model. The record is from RNAcentral.